This 254-nucleotide ribosomal RNA is filed under the name uncultured bacterium. Its description in RNAcentral is "partial 16S ribosomal RNA". It matches the Rfam family "Bacterial small subunit ribosomal RNA", at positions 29 to 306 of the family's 1533-position model. The record is from RNAcentral.
AACGAACGCUGGCGGCAGGCUUAACACAUGCAAGUCGAACGCGUGUAGCAAUACACGAGUGGCGCACGGGUGAGUAACGCGUGGAUAUCUGCCUUUUGGUUCGGAAUAACCCCGGGAACGUGGGCGUAAUACCGGAUGGUUCCGUUCGGGAGUAAAGAUUUAUCGCCAAAAGAUGAGUCCGCGUACGAUUAGCUAGUUGGUGAGGUAAUGGCUCACCAAGGCGACGAUCGUUAGCUGGUCNGAGAGGACGAUCA